GACGAACGCUGGCGGCGUGCUUAACACAUGCAAGUCGAACGGAAAGGCCCUGCUUUUGGGGGGUGCGCGAGUGGCGAACGGGUGAGUAACCCGUGAGUAACCUGCCCCUGACUUUGGGAUAACUUCAGGCAGCUGGGGCUCAUACCGGAAAGGAGCUCCUGCUGCAGGGUGGGGGCUGGAAAGUUUCGGCGGUUGGGGAUGGACUCGCGGCGUAUCAGCUUGUUGGUGGGGUAGUGGCUUACCAAGGCUUUGACGGGUAGCCGGCCUGGGAGGGUGACCGGCCACACUGGGCCUGAGAUACGGCCCAGACUCCUCCGGGAGGCAGCAGUGGGGAAUAUUGCACAAUGGGCGGAAGCCUGAUGCAGCAACGCCGCGUGCGGGAUGACGGCCUUCGGGUUGUAAACCGCUUUCGCCUGUGACGAAGCGUGAGUGACGGUAAUGGGUAAAGAAGCACCGGCUAACUACGUG
This 468-nucleotide ribosomal RNA is filed under the name uncultured bacterium. Its description in RNAcentral is "partial 16S ribosomal RNA". It matches the Rfam family "Bacterial small subunit ribosomal RNA", at positions 28 to 507 of the family's 1533-position model. The record is from RNAcentral.